This 455-nucleotide unclassified non-coding RNA is filed under the name Hevea brasiliensis (rubber tree). The record is from RNAcentral. Lineage: Eukaryota; Viridiplantae; Streptophyta; Magnoliopsida; Malpighiales; Euphorbiaceae.
UGAGAUUGUUGCUGAUGGUGUGGAUCCUAAGCAACAAACAUUCUUCUUUUGUUCAAAGCCACUAAGACGGAGGGAACAGCCAGAUUUAGUUCAAAAUUCAAAGCAUGUGCACCCACUUGUUUUAGAUUCAGAUUUCCCUUCAAUGAAUGAUCUCAAUGGAAGGACUAAUGGUGUUGCGGACGCUGUGGAGUGUGAUCCUUCAAGUUCCAAUGGUGCUAGUGUUCCCUCAUCCGGUAACUUGUAUACAGAUCCUGAUUCUGUUCAGUCAGCAUCAGGAAGCACUCUUGCACCCCCAGCACUGCUUCAGUUUGCUAAGUCAAGAAAGUUAUCAGUUGAGCGCUCUGAUCCCAGAAAUCGUGCACUCCUGCAAAAAAGGCAAUUCUUUCAUUCUCAUAGGGCCCAGCCCAUGGCACUGGAGCAAGUUUUAUCGGACCGAGACAGUGAGGAUGAAGUUG